UUAAGUGACUAAGCGUACAAGGUGGAUGCCUUGGCAAUCAGAGGCGAAGAAGGACGUGCUAAUCUGCGAAAAGCUUGGAUGAGUCGAUAAGAGGCGUUUAAUCCAAGAUAUCCGAAUGGGGAAACCCAGUAGAUGAAGAAUCUACUAUCAACAAGUGAAUUCAUAGCUUGUUGAGGCAAACCGGGAGAACUGAAACAUCUAAGUACCCCGAGGAAAAGAAAUCAACCGAGAUUUCGUCAGUAGCGGCGAGCGAAAGCGAAAGAGCCAGUAAGUGAUAGCAAUAUAGUUAGGAGAAUGUGUUGGGAAGCACAAUCAAAGAGGGUGAUAAUCCCGUAUCUAAAAACCAUAUUGUGGUACUAAGCUAACGAGAAGUAGGGCGGGACACGUGAUAUCCUGUUUGAAGAAGGGGGGACCAUCCUCCAAGGCUAAAUACUCCUGAUUGACCGAUAGUGAACCAGUACUGUGAAGGAAAGGCGAAAAGAACCCCGGUGAGGGGAGUGAAAUAGAACCUGAAACCUUGUACGUACAAGCAGUGGGAGCCCCAUCACUUAAUCCGAUUGGAAGGUGAUGAAAAGCAACCGCACUUAAACAAUGGUAAGAGGAGCGAAGCGAGUCAAACCACCCAAAAGAAGCAGUGGGAUUAAGUGAUGGGGUGACUGCGUACCUUUUGUAUAAUGGGUCAGCGACUUAUAUUUUGUAGCGAGGUUAACCGAAUAGGGGAGCCGAAGGGAAACCGAGUCUUAACUGGGCGUUGAGUUGCAGGGUAUAGACCCGAAACCCGGUGAUCUAGCCAUGGGCAGGUUGAAGGUUGGGUAACACUAACUGGAGGACCGAACCGACUAAUGUUGAAAAAUUAGCGGAUGACUUGUGGCUGGGGGUGAAAGGCCAAUCAAACCGGGAGAUAGCUGGUUCUCCCCGAAAUCUAUUUAGGUAGAGCCUUGAGGUGACACCUUUGGGGGUAGAGCACUGUUUCGGCUAGGGGUCCAUCCCGGAUUACCAACCCGAUGCAAACUACGAAUACCAAAGAGUGAUACUCAGGAGACACACGGCGGGUGCUAACGUCCGUCGUGGAGAGGGAAACAACCCAGACCGCCAGCUAAGGUCCCCAAGUCUAUAUUAAGUGGGAAACGAAGUGGGAAGGCUUAGACAGCUAGGAUGUUGGCUUAGAAGCAGCCAUCAUUUAAAGAAAGCGUAAUAGCUCACUAGUCGAGUCGGUCUGCGCGGAAGAUGUAACGGGGCUGAAAUAUAGCACCGAAGCUGCGGCAUCAGGCGUAUCACUAAUACGCCUGUUGGGUAGGGGAGCGUUGUGUAAGCGGAUGAAGGUUCAUCGAGAGGUGGGCUGGACGUAUCACAAGUGCGAAUGCUGACAUAAGUAACGAUAAAACGGGUGAAAAACCCGUUCGCCGGAAGACCAAGGGUUCCUGUCCAACGUUAAUCGGGGCAGGGUAAGUCGGCCCCUAAGGCGAGGCUGAAAAGCGUAGUCGAUGGGAAACAGGUUAAUAUUCCUGUACUUGGUAAAGCUGCGAUGUGGGGACGGAGUAGGUUAGGUUAUCGCACUGUUGGAUAUGUGCGUUUAAGUUGGUAGGUGGGAAGUUUAGGCAAAUCCGGACUUCCUUAACACAGAGAGAUGAUGACGAGGCUCUACGGAGCUGAAGUAACUGAUACCACACUUCCAGGAAAAGCCACUAAGCGAAAGGCUUUACUAAACCGUACUGAAAACCGACACAGGUGGUCAGGUAGAGAAUACUCAGGCGCUUGAGAGAACUCGGGUGAAGGAACUAGGCAAAAUAGCACCGUAACUUCGGGAGAAGGUGCGCCGGCGUAGAUUGUAAGGGCUAGCCCCUGAAGGUUGAACCGGUCGAAGUGACCAGCUGGCUGCAACUGUUUAUUAAAAACACAGCACUCUGCAAACACGAAAGUGGAGGUAUAGGGUGUGAUGCCUGCCCGGUGCUGGAAGGUUAAUUGAUGGUGUCAUCGCAAGAGAAGCACCUGAUCGAAGCCCCAGUAAACGGCGGCCGUAACUAUAACGGUCCUAAGGUAGCGAAAUUCCUUGUCGGGUAAGUUCCGACCUGCACGAAUGGCAUAAUGAUGGCCAGGCUGUCUCCACCCGAGACUCAGUGAAAUUGAAAUCGCCGUGAAGAUGCGGUGUACCCGCGGCUAGACGGAAAGACCCCGUGAACCUUUACUAUAGCUUGACACUGAACAUUGAAUUUUGAUGUGUAGGAUAGGUGGGAGACUUUGAAGUAGGAACGCCAGUUUCUAUGGAGUCAUCCUUGAAAUACCACCCUUUAACGUUUGAUGUUCUAACGAAGAUUGCGGAACGUGGUCUCGGACAGUGUCUGGUGGGUAGUUUGACUGGGGCGGUCUCCUCCCAAAGCGUAACGGAGGAGCACGAAGGUUUGCUAAUCACGGUCGGACAUCGUGAGGUUAGUGCAAUGGUAUAAGCAAGCUUAACUGCGAGACAGACAAGUCGAGCAGGUACGAAAGUAGGUCAUAGUGAUCCGGUGGUUCUGAAUGGAAGGGCCAUCGCUCAACGGAUAAAAGGUACUCCGGGGAUAACAGGCUGAUACCGCCCAAGAGUUCAUAUCGACGGCGGUGUUUGGCACCUCGAUGUCGGCUCAUCACAUCCUGGGGCUGAAGUAGGUCCCAAGGGUAUGGCUGUUCGCCAUUUAAAGUGGUACGCGAGCUGGGUUUAGAACGUCGUGAGACAGUUCGGUCCCUAUCUGCCGUGGGCGUAGGAUGAUUGAUUGGGGCUGCUCCUAGUACGAGAGGACCGGAGUGGACGCAUCACUGGUGUUCCAGUUGUCUCGCCAGAGGCAUUGCUGGGUAGCUAAAUGCGGAAGAGAUAAGUGCUGAAAGCAUCUAAGCACGAAACUUGCCAAGAGAUGAGUCAUCCCUGACUUUAAGUCAGUAAGGGUUGUUGUAGACUACGACGUAGAUAGGUCAGGUGUGUAAGUGUAGUGAUACAUUGAGCUAACAGAUACUAAUUGCCCGAGAGGCUUAACUAU
Molecule: ribosomal RNA, 3008 nt
Filed under: Haemophilus influenzae
Lineage: Bacteria; Pseudomonadati; Pseudomonadota; Gammaproteobacteria; Pasteurellales; Pasteurellaceae
Description: bacterial LSU rRNA
Rfam family: Bacterial large subunit ribosomal RNA
Source: RNAcentral